RNAcentral lists this ribosomal RNA (775 nucleotides) under uncultured Neocallimastigales. RNAcentral's name for it is "partial large subunit ribosomal RNA". It matches the Rfam family "Eukaryotic large subunit ribosomal RNA", at positions 24 to 644 of the family's 3401-position model. Lineage: Eukaryota; Fungi; Neocallimastigomycota; Neocallimastigomycetes; Neocallimastigales. The record is from RNAcentral.
UAUCUCUGUAGAGUCUGCAUAUCAAUAAGCGGAGGAAAAGAAACUAACAAGGAUUCCCUUAGUAACGGCGAGUGAAGCGGGAAGAGCUCAAAUUUGAAAUCUUCAAGGUUCUACCUUGACGAAUUGUAGUUUAAAGAAGUGUUUUCUGUUAGAUGAGUAGCAAAAGUUCCUUGGAAUGGGACAUCAUAGAGGGUGAGAAUCCCGUAUUUGGUUAUUCAUUCUAGCUUUGUGAUACACUUUCAAAGAGUCGGAUUGUUUGGGAAUGCAGUCCAAAAUGGGUGGUAAAUUUCAUCUAAAGCUAAAUAUUGGCGAGAGACCGAUAGCGGACAAGUACCGUGAGGGAAAGAUGAAAAGAACUUUGAAAAGAGAGUUAAACAGUACGUGAAAUUGUCAAAAGGGAAGCGUUUGACACCAGUGUUGUUUUUCCGAAAAUCAAUUACGAAUGGCUUGAUUUUGUGUUGUAUUGACCUUAUCAGCUUUCUUCACUUUUUUCCGAGUCUUUCUUAAUGCACUUUUCGGUUAACAAGUCAACAUCAAUUUCCUUUGUUGUAAAAGAGUAUUCGGAAGGUGGCUUUCUUUUCGGAGAAAGUGUUUAUAGCCCUAUACUUCUACAAUCGGAGAGAUUGAGGUCUGCAGCGUAGAUCCUUCGGGGUUAGAUACACUUGUGCUAAGUCGUAGCUUUUCAUAGACAACUUGUUGACUAUGUUUAGUCAUGCGGCUUACUCGCUUGUGCUAUUUUACCUACGCUUAGGAUGUUGACUGAUAUGUAGUCGUA